This 1743-nucleotide long non-coding RNA is filed under the name Vigna radiata. RNAcentral's name for it is "long non-coding RNA (VRAD_LNC010436)". Lineage: Eukaryota; Viridiplantae; Streptophyta; Magnoliopsida; Fabales; Fabaceae. The record is from RNAcentral.
AGGUGGGGAAACAAUAAAAAAGAAAAAAAAAUGAAAACAAUGAAAUUAAAAAGGAAAAGAAGAACUAAACUAUAAUCUGUUUAAAAGAAAAGAAGGAAAUUGAAUUGAAAUGAAAUGCAAGAAAAUAGAACUCUAAGCUACCUAGGACAGAAACUGCAGCAGAAACUAUGCCAGUAUUAUCAAUUAAAACCGAAAUCAACAACUAAAUGAAUUGAACAUAUUUAAAACAGUACCAAAUCAAACUAUCAUAUAUGCAAAUCAACUACCAGAAAAUAUUACAAUCAAAAGAAAUAAAAGAAAUCACAGAAUCAGCAAGGAAAAUUGGUUUGAAUCAAAAACUAAAGUCAAAUUCAUAUGAAAUCAAUGCACAGAGUGGUAGAUUAUAUGUCAGGAAGACAUCCUGGUAAAAUAAGCCCAUCACAGGGUCUUAAAGCUCAAUUCUAGAACUUAAAAGUCAAUAAUCAUCACUCAGUUCAUCAAAUUCACAAUGAAUCUAGAUCUAAUUCAUGUUUCUAAUCAAUAUCCUAAAAUAUACAAAACCUAAUUAAAAUGAACGAACAGAAACAAAAAAAAAAACAACAUGAAAAACAAAUAUUUUUUAUGGAUUGAACUCAUCUGGCUCGGGAAGACAUCCCGUUCACUUAUGCCCACCUCGGGGUAGUAUAAUUCCAAAAAGAAAUUUAUAAUAUGCAGAUGCGAGUUCACAGCAAUUUCCAAAUCAAAAUGUUCACAUACACACACGAGAAUAGGAAAACAUUGACAAGAACGCAAUCACAUCACAAACACUCAACAGAAACAUCACGAAGGGGGUAUUAUUAACAAAGAACAAAGAACAAUGAAAAAAAAUGUAAAUGUAUCGAAUAGAAUUGAGCGGGAGCGCAAGAACUUGAGUUUUACCGAAGAAUGCGAUGAAACCCUAGAAAUCGCGAUCUCUCUCUAUUCUAGACAAACCGAGAAAUCAAAAGUAUGUAAAAAUUCUAACUCUGUAAAAGUCUGUCUUUAUUUACAUGACAAUAAUCCCUUUUUAUAGGGUCUAAAACUAAGAACGAAGAAAGAAAAAUCUGGAAAAGAGAAACCUUCAUCUGGACGCUUCCUGCUCUUGAUCCAGCGGUCACUAUUCAUUUGCUUCGAGCUCGCUCUUCUAGCCAUUCGAUCAACUUUUUAUCUUCACCAGUCAACUUCUUCUCCGAGUAAGUGGCACGAACCCUAGCUCCAAGGUGCUCUUUGCUUCUUUUCUUCCCAAGCAAAUGUUUGAGAACCUUAUCCAAAUGAAAGUAAAUGAACAAGAACCUUCUAGCUGCAGCCGAACCCACUCCAAAACGCACCGUUUCACUAAAUGUAAUCCAAGUCUAGCGGCCCAAUCCAACAAUCGUUGCAGCAACUACAGCUUCCAGGCUGAUUCUUUUUAGCAGCAUCCAAACAGCUUCUAUUAUGGCAAUGGCCCAAUAAGUGGAAAAAUCAAAUCUACCAGCCAAAGGAAAUUGCUUCUGCUGACCACAAUAAGCCCAAUUACUAAAGCCCAAAUCUGCAGCAAAGAAAAACAAUUCAAAAUUAAAGAAAUAAAAGCAAAAAAAUCAAAUGAAAGAAAAUAAUUUUUAUAAAAAUAUUUUCUUAAAAAAAAUAUAAUUUUUCUAAUUAUUUACAAAUGUACUAAAAAUACACUAAAAAUCUAUUUUUAACUAAAAUUAUACAAAACUAAAGAACACAAAGAAAAUCCUAAAACUAUCUUAAUUCUAAACAAUU